RNAcentral lists this ribosomal RNA (465 nucleotides) under Vreelandella stevensii. RNAcentral's name for it is "partial 16S ribosomal RNA". It matches the Rfam family "Bacterial small subunit ribosomal RNA", at positions 338 to 795 of the family's 1533-position model. The record is from RNAcentral. Lineage: Bacteria; Pseudomonadati; Pseudomonadota; Gammaproteobacteria; Oceanospirillales; Halomonadaceae.
CCUACGGGGUGCAGCAGUGGGGAAUAUUGGACAAUGGGCGAAAGCCUGAUCCAGCCAUGCCGCGUGUGUGAAGCAGGCCUUCGGGUUGUAAAGCACUUUCAGUGGGGAAGAAAGCCUUGGGGCUAAUACCCUCGAGGAAGGACAUCACCCACAGAAGAAGCACCGGCUAACUCCGUGCCAGCAGCCGCGGUAAUACGGAGGGUGCGAGCGUUAAUCGGAAUUACUGGGCGUAAAGCGCGCGUAGGCGGUCUGAUAAGCCGGUUGUGAAAGCCCCGGGCUCAACCUGGGAACGGCAUCCGGAACUGUCAGGCUAGAGUGCAGGAGAGGAAGGUAGAAUUCCCGGUGUAGCGGUGAAAUGCGUAGAGAUCGGGAGGAAUACCAGUGGCGAAGGCGGCCUUCUGGACUGACACUGACGCUGAGGUGCGAAAGCGUGGGUAGCAAACAGGAUUAGAUACCCGAGUAGUC